Molecule: ribosomal RNA, 114 nt
Filed under: Octodon degus (degu)
Lineage: Eukaryota; Metazoa; Chordata; Mammalia; Rodentia; Octodontidae
Source: RNAcentral
AUCUACGGCCAUACCACCCUGAAUGUGCCCGAUCUCGUCUGAUCUCGGAAGCUAAGCAGGGUCGGGCCUGGUUAGUACUUGGAUGGGAGACAAAAUCUAUGCAAGCAGAAAAUG